Oncorhynchus tshawytscha (Chinook salmon) is the source of this 897-nucleotide long non-coding RNA. RefSeq lists it as uncharacterized. The record is from RefSeq and is a predicted model, not a curated record. NCBI's taxonomy places the organism in Eukaryota, Metazoa, Chordata, Actinopteri, Salmoniformes, Salmonidae. The transcript has 4 exons.
UGCCAAAACUAUAGUUUGUUAACAAGAAAUUUGUAGAGUGGUUGAAAAACAAGUUUUAAUGACUCCAACCUGUCUAUUUGAAACACAACCUUGAUUACAGCGACGGUAUGGAUGAAUCUGUCUGGUAAUGUGUGACGAAGGAAAAGUCAUUUACUCUGUUGACACCGUCUUUCGGUUUCCUGCAGAGGUGAGGAAAGUGAUUGGGAUAGAGAUGUUUCAGGAAACAGAGAAGGACGCCAAAGUCAAUGGGCUGAUUAACAUUGAGUCCCACUGUGGAAAGGCUGCUGAAGACAUUUCAAAUGGUGCUCAGCACUGUCAUAUCCCCAAACGUCACAGCCAUUGUGGACCCACCCAGAGCAAGCCUACGUCCCAAGGUCAUUCUGGCAAUCAGAGCAUGUGAAGAGGCUGGUUUAUGUGGCAUGCGAUGCUAAGGCUGCCAUGAACAAAUUUAUUGAGUGAGUCUUUGCAGGGCUCCCUCUAACGGUGUACGUGGAGCUCAUUUCCAUCCGGUCCGGGCCAUGGCUGUGGACCUCUUCCCCCUUACUACACACUGAGAUGCUGCCGUUCUUUUAGAUGGUGAACUAGUUUCCAGAGCACCAGCAACAAACUGGAAGACGAGGCUGAGGGAACCAGCAACAAACCGGAAGAGACCACAAAAUUUUACCUUACCCUGUUGUCAUUAUUUCAGGUAUGUUUUGUACUUACUGUACAUGUUCUAAACAGAAGCAGUGUCAGCAAAGUCCAUGGGGAAGUAGAUACUUUCUGAAGGCACUAUGUGGUAGAUAACUGUUCACACCCCUGGACUUUUUCCACAUUUUGUGGGAUUAAAAUGGAUUUGUCAUUUUCUGUCAACAAUCUGCACAAAAUACUCUGGGGGGGGGGAACAAGUUUUGAUUA